Molecule: transfer RNA, 70 nt
Filed under: bovine gut metagenome
Rfam family: tRNA
About the family: Transfer RNA (tRNA) molecules are approximately 80 nucleotides in length. Their secondary structure includes four short double-helical elements and three loops (D, anti-codon, and T loops).
Source: RNAcentral
CGAAAUAGCUCAGUUGGCCAGAGCACGUGAUUUGUAAUCUCGGGGUCGUGGGUUCGAAUCCCUCUUUCGG